This 57-nucleotide transfer RNA is filed under the name Bos taurus (domestic cattle). It matches the Rfam family "tRNA", at positions 8 to 63 of the family's 71-position model. Rfam says of the family: Transfer RNA (tRNA) molecules are approximately 80 nucleotides in length. Their secondary structure includes four short double-helical elements and three loops (D, anti-codon, and T loops). Further hydrogen bonds mediate the characteristic L-shaped molecular structure. tRNAs have two regions of fundamental functional importance: the anti-codon, which is responsible for specific mRNA codon recognition, and the 3' end, to which the tRNAs corresponding amino acid is attached (by aminoacyl-tRNA synthetases). tRNAs cope with the degeneracy of the genetic code in two manners: having more than one tRNA (with a specific anti-codon) for a particular amino acid; and 'wobble' base-pairing, i.e. permitting non-standard base-pairing at the 3rd anti-codon position. Lineage: Eukaryota; Metazoa; Chordata; Mammalia; Artiodactyla; Bovidae. RNAcentral also lists the same sequence under 3 other names. The record is from Rfam by way of RNAcentral.
UAGCUGAGUUGGUAAAGAAUCUGCCUGCAAUGCAGGAGACCCUGGUUCAAUUCUUGG